GUCGAACGAGAAAGUUCCUUCGGGAGCGAGUAAAGUGGCGGACGGGUGAGUAACGCGUAGGAAUCUACCUUUCAGUGGGGGAUAGCUCGGGGAAACUCGAAUUAAUACCGCAUACACCCUUCGGGGGAAAGGGGGCCUCUCCUUGGAAGCUCUCGCUGUUAGAUGAGCCUGCGUGAGAUUAGCUUGUUGGUAAGGUAAUGGCUUACCAAGGCUACGAUCUCUAGCUGGUCUGAGAGGACGAUCAGCCACACUGGGACUGAGACACGGCCCAGACUCCUACGGGAGGCAGCAGUAGGGAAUAUUGGACAAUGGGGGCAACCCUGAUCCAGGCAUGCCGCGUGUGUGAAGAAGGCCUUAGGGUUGUAAAGCACUUUAAGUGAGGAAGAAAAGAUUUAAAUUAAUACUUUAAGUCCCUGACAUUAUUCACAGAAUAAGGACCGGCUAACUCCGUGCCAGCAGCCGCGGUAAUACGGAGGGUCCAAGCGUUAAUCGGAAUUACUGGGCGUAAAGCGCGCGUAGAUGGUUUAUUCAGUUGGGUGUGAAAUCCCUGGGCUCAACCUAGGAACUGCAUUCAAAACUUAUAAACUAGAGUACGAAAGAGGAGAGUAGAAUUCAUGGUGUAGCGGUGAAAUGCGUAGAGAUCAUGAGGAAUACCAGUGGCGAAGGCGACUCUCUGGUUCGAGACUGACAUUGAGGUGCGAAAGCGUGGGUAGCAAACAGGAUUAGAUACCCUGGUAGUCCACGCCGUAAACGAUGAGAACUAGCCGUUGGAUCUUUAGAUUCAGUGGCGCAGCUAACGCAUUAAGUUCUCCGCCUGGGGAGUACGG
RNAcentral lists this ribosomal RNA (827 nucleotides) under uncultured bacterium. RNAcentral's name for it is "bacterial SSU rRNA". It matches the Rfam family "Bacterial small subunit ribosomal RNA", at positions 61 to 885 of the family's 1533-position model. The record is from RNAcentral.